CCGGGACGCGGCGGACGGCUCAGGACAACGGUUGCACCCCCCGCGGCGGUCCCUGCUAGCCGGACACCGCUGGCAACCCGGCGCCAAGACGUGCGCGCAAGGGCGGGCGCCCGCGGGCGAACAGCGUGACGCAG
RNAcentral lists this ribosomal RNA (134 nucleotides) under Giardia duodenalis. Its description in RNAcentral is "Giardia intestinalis partial small subunit ribosomal RNA". The record is from RNAcentral. Lineage: Eukaryota; Fornicata; Diplomonadida; Hexamitidae.